CUUCGGUCUCUGCUCCCGGGACCCGGGCUCCGCCGCAGCCAGCCAGCAUGUCGGGGAUCAAGAAGCAAAAGACGAUGGAGUCUUGCUCUGUCACCCAGGCUCAAGUGCUGUUGGCGUGAUCUUGGCUCAUUGCAACCUCCACCUCCCAAGUUCAAGCGAUUCUCACGCCUCGGCCUCCCUAGUAGCUGGGGUUACAGGUGUGCACCACCACACCCGGCUAAUUUUUGUAUUUUUAGUUGAGACGGGUUUUCACCAUGUUGGCCAGACUGGUCUUGAACUCCUGACCUCAAGUGAUCUGUCUGCCUUGGCCUCCCAGAGUGCUGGGAUUACAGGCAUGAGCCACCAUGCUCAUCCUGUUGUUUUAAAUUUGAUUAUUUUAUGUUAUUACUAGCAUUUAUAGUUAUUUUCAGUGGAAGCAUCAAUCUGAAUAACCUACCCAUCACUGCUGGAAACAGAGACCUCUACCCUUUCUAGAUUCCUGUGAAUCAUUAACAUCUCCUAUCAUACCUUACCAGACCUGUGUCGCUGUCAUAAAAGGAGUACUUUUUAAACAUGAACUCUAGUCAGAUAGCUAGUCAAAAAUCUUUGAUUUAAUCCUUUUUCCCUAGGAUGUGCUACAGUGUGGAGUGGGGAGUGCUCACCUUGUCUUGGUGGUCUCUUCCUAUGCAGACAUCCUUAGAGAUGUGCAUUGUCCUGUCCAAUCCUUAGUGUUGGUCCAAUUUCAAGUGCGUUCUUGUCUGAAAGGCCCCUUCAAUUUAAACAACUCUCCUUACUUCUUUCAUGCUCUCCUGGGUACCCUGAGGCCGUUUUGUUGCUCCAGCACAACUCUGAGGUCGUGGGGUAUGAAUUUGGUGGGACUAGUUAAGGUCCUUGACAUGUCCCCACUACUCCCAGGAGUGUAGGAACUAGGUUCCUACUUUGCUGUGACCAUGCAGGGACUUGGAGGAGCUCUGGGGGCUGCUGAAACCCACCCUCUUUUCCUCUGAGAUCAGAAGCACAUCCAAUGCCCUCUGCUUUCAGAGCCCCCAGGGCUAUUUGGCCUCCCUCUUCCCCAAGCUCAGCACCAGGGGCAGGACACUACUCCCUGUUUCAGACUCAGACUGGUACCCAAGCUUGCUUUGCUUCUCUUUUAAUAAAGAUUAAAGCUUUCCCAAAAGGUUAAUUGGUUUAUCAUAAGCAUUGAAUUUGUUAUAAAUUUUGUCUUCUUGUUCCUUUUUCCUGUCUUUUUGAUCACCACAUUUUUGAAAAAUUUACAAUAAAUUGGCUGGGUGUGGUGGCUCAUGCCUGUAAUCCCAGCACUUUGAGAGGCUGAGGUGGGCGGAUCACUUGAGCGCAGGAGUUUGAGACCAGCCUGGGCAACAUGGCAAAACCUUGUCUCUACAAAAAUGCAAAAAAUUAGCCAAGUGUGGUGGCGCGGGCCUGUAGUCCCAGCUAUCUAGGAGGCUGAGGUGGGAUCGCCCCAGUACUGGAGGUCAAGGCUGCAGUCAGCCAUGAUCAUGCCAUUACACUCCAGCCUGGGUGACAGAGUGAGACCCUGUCUCAAAAAACCUCAACAAAACAAACAAACAAUAAAUUGGUGCACAAGAUGAAAAUAUUUUUUCUCUGUACAAAAGAGCCACUGUAUUAAAACUUGAAAUAUAAGUUGCCUCUGAUGACACGUGGUGUAUAAAAUGGAUUCCAUCAGUUGACUGAUGUGACUUCCUUUAAAAUCUUAUCAGCAUCCCUUUCUGCAUUUCAAAUUUACUACUGAAGUUGAUUUUGCUGUAAUUGAUAUUGUGCAAGCACGACUGUAAUAUAAACAUGACAAACUCAAUCUGUAUACCAUCAAAUAUUAACUUUUGGCAAUAAAU
Molecule: long non-coding RNA, 1850 nt
Filed under: Homo sapiens (human)
Lineage: Eukaryota; Metazoa; Chordata; Mammalia; Primates; Hominidae
Description: HSALNT0165907
Source: RNAcentral